RNAcentral lists this ribosomal RNA (301 nucleotides) under uncultured bacterium. RNAcentral's name for it is "partial 16S ribosomal RNA". It matches the Rfam family "Bacterial small subunit ribosomal RNA", at positions 509 to 807 of the family's 1533-position model. The record is from RNAcentral.
CAGCAGCCGCGGGAAUACGGAGGGUGCAAGCGUUAAUCGGAAUUACUGGUCGUAAAGCGCACGCAGGCGGUCUGUCAAGUCGGAUGUGAAAUCCCCGGGCUCAACUCGAAGUCUGCAUCGAAAACUGCCGGGCUUGAGUAUGGGAGAGGUGAGUGGAAUUUCCGGUGUAGCGGUGAAAUGCGUAGAUAUCGGAAGGAACACCUGUGGCGAAAGCGGCUCACUGGACCAUUACUGACGCUGAGGCGCGAAAGCUAGGGGAGCAAACAGGAUUAGAUACCCCGGUAGUCCCUGUCUCUUAUAC